Molecule: non-coding RNA, 1269 nt
Organism: Microcebus murinus (gray mouse lemur)
Lineage: Eukaryota; Metazoa; Chordata; Mammalia; Primates; Cheirogaleidae
Source: RefSeq, a predicted model, not a curated record
AAUGGCAUGUAUUCAGGGGCAAUGGCAUGGUGUGAAACUCAUGUAAUCUAAAUCUUGGGAUUAGAGGAAAUCACCUAACCCCAGUGCAGGAUGAAGAGACAAGUAUGUAGUCAGUGACUUGUGGCACUUAAUAAACCAAGAGUUUGGAGGAAAAUGACCCAACAAGGAGAGAGAGAGAGAGAGAGAGAGAGAGAGAGAGAGAGAGAGAGAGAGAGAGAGAGAGAGAGAGAGAGAGAGAGAGAGAACAGCCAGAGGUAGAUAAUGUGUAGUGUGUGAUGUCUGGGAAACCAAAAAAAGGGUUUGUCCUGAGGAAAACAUUGUGAUCAACAAUGUUAAGUGCUGCUGAGGUGUCAAGUAAGACAAAGAUGAGGAGGAAUCUGCUGGGCUUUCUGACACAGAACCCAUCAUGGAAGUCCAAGUGGAAGUGAGAAAAAACUAAAACUAUAGGAAAGAGAAACAACUCAUAUGGAGAGGUAGUUUGACUAACUGCCUAAGAGUGGAAAAAGAGAAAUAGUGUCAAAAAUAAAGGUCAAGGAGGAUAGGUGGAGUCAGGUAGUUCUUAGGUCAUUUCACUGUAAAUAAUUAUUUUAUCUAUCUAUCUAUCCAUCCAUCUAUCUUUAAUCUAUUUUAUCCCUUGAGUCAGAUGAUGAAAGAACAAAUAGAAAAGAGAUUGAAAAACUAUAGACACAGGACAUAAUUGAUAGCAUAACAUUCCUGAAAGAAACAAAAGGAUAAUAUACAAUACAGAAAUCAUUUAGCUUUGGAUGGAGGGUAGGUGUAGAUUGGCCUAUCUUUGUACUGGAAGGAGAGGAGUAGAAUGAGGUCAAGUGAGGGGGAAGGCAGCAAGAUCCAAGAUUUCAAGAGAGUGGAAAUUAUGUAAAGAUAGACAGUAAAAAAUUGAAGAACAGACUAGGUAACAUUAAAAUUAUAGGGCAAUUUUAAACCUUCAGUGGAGAUUGGUAACCACUGAAGAAACUUAUCUUCUAUUAUGUUAUAUAUUUUUCUCAGUAGAAUUGAGUAGGUUAAAUAUAGCCAUGAAAUAAAGGAAUGGAUUUUUGGAGGUUUUUUCAGAUGAAUGUGACCAAAGGAUAACAAAGCACAAGAGUUUAAGCUACUGAAAAAAGAGCAGUUUAAAAAUGAUCUGUGUACUUUUAGUUCUUUGAGGAAUCCUCAUACUGUUUUUGACAGAGGUUGUAGUAAUUUGCAGUCCCACCAACAGUGCACAAGUGUUCCUGUCUCUCUGCAUCCACCAGCAUUUAUUGUUUUUGG